UACUGCUUCGUAGGUGACCUGCGGAAGGA
This 29-nucleotide ribosomal RNA is filed under the name Polyblastidium japonicum. Its description in RNAcentral is "partial 18S ribosomal RNA". Lineage: Eukaryota; Fungi; Ascomycota; Lecanoromycetes; Caliciales; Physciaceae. The record is from RNAcentral.